This 253-nucleotide ribosomal RNA is filed under the name uncultured bacterium. Its description in RNAcentral is "partial 16S ribosomal RNA". It matches the Rfam family "Bacterial small subunit ribosomal RNA", at positions 524 to 776 of the family's 1533-position model. The record is from RNAcentral.
UACAGAGGGGGCAAGCGUUGUUCGGAAUUACUGGGCGUAAAGGGCGCGUAGGCGGCCCGCUAAGUCGAACGUGAAAUCCCCGAGCUCAACUCGGGAACUGCGUCCGAUACUGGCGGGCUUGAAUCCGGGAGAGGUGAGUGGAACUGCGAGUGUAGAGGUGAAAUUCGUAGAUAUUCGCAAGAACACCAGUGGCGAAGGCGGCUCACUGGCCCGGUACUGACGCUGAGGUGCGAAAGCGUGGGGAGCAAACAGG